AAAGACCCGCCGUAGAAGGUUAGCCAGACAGCUGCGUAGCGAGUCUUGCGUAUCCGGCGGCAACAAAGGAGACGAAGCGUAGACAGCGAAACAUUCGAGCCGAAAUCAAAUGAUGAACGUGAUAGCUCCGAAAUCCCUCUAGUUGUGUGUGCCGAUGGUGUUGGAAGACCCGCAGGCAACAGCGGCUGAAUGGUCAGACUGGCGAAUAUCCAUUUAGCAGCACACACCGGAGCCGCAGACGU
This 242-nucleotide non-coding RNA is filed under the name Photorhabdus temperata subsp. temperata Meg1. Lineage: Bacteria; Pseudomonadati; Pseudomonadota; Gammaproteobacteria; Enterobacterales; Morganellaceae. The record is from RNAcentral.